Molecule: ribosomal RNA, 253 nt
Filed under: uncultured bacterium
Lineage: Bacteria
Description: partial 16S ribosomal RNA
Rfam family: Bacterial small subunit ribosomal RNA
Source: RNAcentral
GACGAACCACACGAACGUUAUUCGGAAUUACUGGGCUUAAAGGGUGCGCAGGCGGCUUGGCAAGUUGGGUGUGAAAUACCUCGGCUCAACCGAGGAAUGGCGCUCAAAACUGCCGAGCUAGAGGGAGAUAGAGGUGAGCGGAACUUAAGGUGGAGCGGUGAAAUGCGUUGAUAUCUUAAGGAACACCCGUGGCGAAAGCGGCUCACUGGAUCUCUUCUGACGCUCAGGCACGAAAGCCAGGGGAGCGAACGGG